RNAcentral lists this ribosomal RNA (468 nucleotides) under uncultured bacterium. RNAcentral describes it as "partial 16S ribosomal RNA". It matches the Rfam family "Bacterial small subunit ribosomal RNA", at positions 28 to 507 of the family's 1533-position model. The record is from RNAcentral.
GAUGAACGCUGGCGGCGUGCUUAACACAUGCAAGUCGAACGGAAAGGCCCAAGCUUGCUUGGGUACUCGAGUGGCGAACGGGUGAGUAACACGUGGGUGAUCUGCCCUGCACUUCGGGAUAAGCCUGGGAAACUGGGUCUAAUACCGGAUAGGACCACGUCUUGGAUGUUGUGGUGGAAAGUUUUUUCGGUGUGGGAUGAGCUCGCGGCCUAUCAGCUUGUUGGUGGGGUAAUGGCCUACCAAGGCGUCGACGGGUAGCCGGCCUGAGAGGGUGUACGGCCAUAUUGGGACUGAGAUAAGGCCCAGGCUCCUAAGGGAGGGAGGAGUGGGGGAUAUUGCACAAUGGGGGGAAACCUGAUGCAGCGACGCCGGGUGGGGGAUGACGGCCUUCAGGUUGUAAACUCCUUUCGCUAGGGACGAAGCGGUUUUGUGACGGUACCUGGAGAAGAAGCACCGGCUAACUACGUG